This 107-nucleotide small nuclear RNA is filed under the name Myotis davidii. The record is from RNAcentral. Lineage: Eukaryota; Metazoa; Chordata; Mammalia; Chiroptera; Vespertilionidae.
GUGCUCACUUUGGCAGCACAUAUACUAAAAUUGAAAUGAUACAGAGAAGAUUAGCAUGGUCCUUGUGCAAGGAUGACACGUAAAUUCAUGAAGCAUAUUAAAAAAAA